RNAcentral lists this ribosomal RNA (253 nucleotides) under uncultured bacterium. RNAcentral describes it as "partial 16S ribosomal RNA". It matches the Rfam family "Bacterial small subunit ribosomal RNA", at positions 524 to 776 of the family's 1533-position model. The record is from RNAcentral.
UACGUAGGGGGCAAGCGUUGUUCGGAAUUACUGGGCGUAAAGGGCGCGUAGGCGGCACGGCAAGUCGGGAGUGAAGGGCCUGGGCUCAACCGAGGAACUGCUUUCGAGACUGCCGAGCUAGAGUGCGGAAGGGGCAACUGGAAUUCCCAGUGUAGCGGUGAAAUGCGUAGAUAUUGGGAAGAACACCUGAGGCGAAGGCGGGUUGCUGGGCCGACACUGACGCUGAGGCGCGAAAGCCAGGGGAGCAAACGGG